GACCUGAUGGUGUAGUGGUAACAUGCCUGCUGAAUUUGAACUGUAUGGAAUGUAGAUAAGUAGGAAGCCCUGGUUCGAACCCGGGUCAGGUCA
Mycena leptocephala is the source of this 93-nucleotide non-coding RNA. NCBI's taxonomy places the organism in Eukaryota, Fungi, Basidiomycota, Agaricomycetes, Agaricales, Mycenaceae. The record is from the annotation of a GenBank genome assembly.